Molecule: ribosomal RNA, 397 nt
Filed under: uncultured bacterium
Lineage: Bacteria
Description: partial 16S ribosomal RNA
Rfam family: Bacterial small subunit ribosomal RNA
Source: RNAcentral
AAUCUUCCGCAAUGGGCGCAAGCCUGACGGAGCAACGCCGCGUGAGUGAAGAAGGUUNNNGGAUUNUCAAACUCUGUCCAUGGNGACNAUAAUGACGGUACCCGUGGAGGAAGCCCCGGCUAACUACGUCCCAGCAGCCGCGGUAAAACGUAGGGGGCAAGCGUUGUCCGGAAUUACUGGGCGUAAAGGGCGUGUAGGCGGCUGGUCAAGCCAAUAGUGAAACCCGACGGCUCAACCGUCGGCUUGCUGUCGAAACUGACUAGCUUGAGUGCAGGAGAGGAGAGUGGAAUUCCCAGUGUAGCGGUGAAAUGCGUAGAUAUUGGGAGGAACACCAGUGGCGAAGGCGGCUUUCUGGACUGCACCUGACGCUGAGGCGCGAAAGCCAGGGUAGCGAACG